GACGAACGCUGGCGGCGUGCCUAAUACAUGCAAGUCGAGCGGAAAUCAGAAGAAGCUUGCUUCUUCUGAUUUUAGCGGCGGACGGGUGAGUAACACGUGGGCAACCUACCUUGUAGAUUGGGAUAACUCCGGGAAACCGGGGCUAAUACCGAAUAAUCCAUUUUGCUUCAUGGCGAAAUGUUAAAAGGCGGCUUCGGCUGUCACUACGAGAUGGGCCCGCGGCGCAUUAGCAGUUGGUAGGGUAACGGCCUACCAAGGCAACGAUGCGUAGCCGACCUGAGAGGGUGAUCGGCCACACUGGGACUGAGACACGGCCCAGACUCCUACGGAGGCAGCAGUAGGGAAUCUUCCACAAUGGACGAAAGUCUGAUGGAGCAACGCCGCGUGAGUGAAGAAGGUUUUCGGAUCGUAAAACUCUGUUGUAAGGGAAGAACACGUACGAGAGUAACUACUCGUACCUUGACGGUACCUUAUUAGAAAGCCACGGCUAACUACGUGCCA
This 501-nucleotide ribosomal RNA is filed under the name uncultured bacterium. RNAcentral's name for it is "bacterial SSU rRNA". It matches the Rfam family "Bacterial small subunit ribosomal RNA", at positions 28 to 510 of the family's 1533-position model. The record is from RNAcentral.